This 1632-nucleotide ribosomal RNA is filed under the name Triticum aestivum (bread wheat). Its description in RNAcentral is "partial small subunit ribosomal RNA". The record is from RNAcentral. Lineage: Eukaryota; Viridiplantae; Streptophyta; Magnoliopsida; Poales; Poaceae.
AUGUCGACCAUGUCGUGCUCCUCUAACCUCUCGCUCAACGCACACUCCCUCCUCGGCAGCCCUGCCGGCCGGACCGUGCCGCCAGCUGCCCGCCUGCUCCUCCUGCAGAAGCCUCCCACCGGCAUCCACGGAGCGUACACUACCUCUCGGCCACGACGCCCGUCGUCUCAUGUCACGUCGGCGGUGUCAGCCGACGAAGCGCCACCGACCAAGGAGAAGAAGGCGGACUCCUUCGUCGGGGACAUGGAGCGCGGCACCCUGGCUGAGGAGUCCGGCCGCUCCGACGGCGAGCUGACGUCGCGGUGGCGGGAGAUGCACGGCUGCAACGACUGGGACGGCCUGCUGGACCCCAUCGACAGGACGCUCCGCGGGGAGCUCAUCCGCUACGGCGAGUUCUCGCAGGCCUGUUACGACUCCUUCGACUACGACCGCUACUCCCGCUACGCCGGCACCUGCAAGUACGCCCAGGACUCCUUCUUCAAGAACGUCGGCCUCGCCGGCGUCGGCUACGACGUCACCCGCUACCUCUACGCCACCUCGCACGCCCGCUUCCCCAGCUUCGGCGUCCAGAAGCACAACCCCAGCGAUGACCGGAUGUGGAGCGAGACCGGUACCUUCAUCGGCUUCAUCGCCGUGUCCACGGACGAAGAGACGGCGCGCAUCGGCCGCCGGGACAUCGCCGUCGCCUGGCGAGGCACCGUCACAAAGCUCGAGUGGAUCGCCGACAUAACCGCGUUCCUCAAGCCCAUCGGCCAGUUUGGGCUGCCGUGCCCUGACCCGAGCGUGAAGGUGGAGGAGGGCUUCGCGGAGCUCUACACCAGCAAGAACCCCGACUGCAAGUACUGCAAGUACUCGGCGCGGGAGCAGGUGCUCGCCGAGGUGCGGAAGCUGGUGGAGCGGUACACCGGGCAGGGCGAGGAGGUGAGCGUCACCGUCACCGGCCACAGCCUCGGCGCCGCGCUUGCCGUGCUCUGCGCCUACGACAUCGCCGAGACGCGCGCCAACGUGUCUACCGGAGGUGCCAAGGCCCCGGUCUGCGUCUUCUCCUACUCGGGCCCGCGCGUGGGGAACCCCAUGUUCAGGGAGCGGUUCGAGGGCGAGCUGGGCGUGAAGGCGCUGCGCAUCCUGAACGUGCACGACUCGGUGCCCAAGGUGCCCGGCAUCUUCACCGAAGCCGUCCUCCCGAUGCCGUUGCUGCGGAUCGCCGGGGCUCUCGGCCUGCCCAGCGUCUACUCCCACAUCGGCGUGGAGCUGGCGCUCGACCACAAGCUCUCGCCCUUCCUCAAGGACGUCUUCGACCUCGCGUGCUACCACAACCUCGAAGCGCACCUCCACCUUCUCGACGGCUACCAGGGCCGCGGCAAGGAGUUCAAGCUCGGGGGUAGGGACCCGGCACUCGUGAACAAGGCCGCCGACUUCCUCAUGGACGAGCACAUGGUGCCUGACGGGUGGCGCCAGGAGUUGAACAAGGGCAUGGUCAGGACGGAGGAUGGGCGGUGGAUGCUGCCGCAUCGCCCGAGGAAUGUUGAGGAACACCCAGAAGACACCGAUCUCCACCUCGCUGAGCUCGGCCUUGCCGCCCCCGUCACCGCCAAGGCCACCGCUGCCGCCACCGCCACCGCCAACGUCUGA